UACGGGGGGGGCGAGCGUUGUUCGGAAUUAUUGGGCGUAAAGGGAGCGUAGGCGGUGCGGUAAGUUUGGUGUGAAACCUCCAGGCUCAACUUGGAGCUGGCAUCAAAUACUGCCGUGCUAGAGUCCGGAAGAGGAGUGUGGAAUUCCUGGUGUAGCGGUGAAAUGCGCAGAUAUCAGGAAGAACACCUAUGGCGAAGGCAGCACUCUGGGACGGUACUGACGCUGAGACGCGAAAGCGUGGGGAGCGAACAGG
This 253-nucleotide ribosomal RNA is filed under the name uncultured bacterium. Its description in RNAcentral is "partial 16S ribosomal RNA". It matches the Rfam family "Bacterial small subunit ribosomal RNA", at positions 524 to 776 of the family's 1533-position model. The record is from RNAcentral.